UUGUGUUGUCUGCGAUGCACCAGCAAAAUCCGGAUUAAAAUUGAUACUUGGCCAUGCUGCUAAGCUAUCAUGCUCCUACUGUUACAUAGAGAGCUCAUCAUCCUUGGGACGAGGCGCAUAAAUUCCUGGACAAGCGAACGCCUCUGGAACACAUUCAAAACCUUGAUAUGGUGUUAGUUGAACAAGAACAAGAUUCAACGAUCAGGUGUCCCGCGUACAGCUGUACAAAUAGUUGGGUUUCCUAGUUGCAGACCUGGAACUAGCAAAGAGAUAGCCAGACCAACAGCGAUGUACCCAAUAGAGUUACCAAAUCACAAUGAUAUUGCAGCGUCCAGCAAAAUUGGUGACAAGGCAUAUGAGGUCCCAAAACAGAACGAUAUUGCAGCGGAUGUCGUAAUUGGUGAGAAGUUAUAUGAGGUCCCGAAACAGAACGAUAUUGCAGCAAAUAUCGUAUUGGUGAGAAUAAAUAUGAGGUCCCAACACAGAACAAGGUUGGCGAGAAGUAAAAUGAGUCUGUGUACGACUAUGGUGGAGGGUCUGGCGAUAAGGGAUAUGCAGACGCACAAAGACAGUCGCAACAGUUCCGCUUUUCUCCAAGGGAUGUAAACAGAUAUCAUUAUAAUGAGAUGAGAAUAAGGAUGGAGACAGAGUUUCAGAGCGAAUCUGCAGAUAUCCACGGAAAUGAAUUUCAUGAUAUGGACACAGGCAAAGUAAAGAGGAAUAUGAAUGGAUCAGCACUGACGGGAAGACCAGUAUUAAGCAGCAUUAUAAAUCAGUUUUAGUUCAGGACUUCACUUCGGUCAGCAUCAACCUGAAUAUACAUCAAUCACCUGCCGGCCUAUCCCCAUGAACUACAGAAUUCUACCGGGAUGUAUAUUUUUAAGAAAAUCCAACCCUCACUUUAUUGGGGGUAAAUAAACAAAUUUUGUGUAAAAAAGUUUGUGAAAGGAUGAAAAAUCUGGCCUUUUCAGAUAUAAUUCUUAUAAAAAACAUGUCCCAGGAGGGUGUGGGUUAAAUCUUAAAAUAUACAUCCCAGUUUAUAAUCGUUCAAUUAACUGUUCAUUCAACUGGUCAUAUUUUUUAAAAAUAAAUAUUUUUUCUAUAA
This is a long non-coding RNA of Eurytemora carolleeae, 1105 nucleotides long. RefSeq lists it as uncharacterized. The transcript has 10 exons. Lineage: Eukaryota; Metazoa; Arthropoda; Copepoda; Calanoida; Temoridae. The record is from RefSeq and is a predicted model, not a curated record.